Molecule: ribosomal RNA, 938 nt
Filed under: Phanerodontia chrysosporium
Lineage: Eukaryota; Fungi; Basidiomycota; Agaricomycetes; Polyporales; Phanerochaetaceae
Description: partial large subunit ribosomal RNA
Rfam family: Eukaryotic large subunit ribosomal RNA
Source: RNAcentral
GCAUAUCAAUAAGCGGAGGAAAAGAAACUAACAAGGAUUCCCCUAGUAACUGCGAGUGAAGCGGGAAAAGCUCAAAUUUAAAAUCUGGCAGUCUUUGGCUGUCCGAGUUGUAAUCUGGAGAAGCGUCUUCCGCGCUGGACCGUGUACAAGUCUCCUGGAACGGAGCGUCAUAGAGGGUGAGAAUCCCGUCUUUGACACGGACUACCAGUGCUCUGUGAUGCGCUCUCAAAGAGUCGAGUUGUUUGGGAAUGCAGCUCAAAAUGGGUGGUAAACUCCAUCUAAAGCUAAAUAUUGGCGAGAGACCGAUAGCGAACAAGUACCGUGAGGGAAAGAUGAAAAGCACUUUGGAAAGAGAGUUAAACAGUACGUGAAAUUGCUGAAAGGGAAACGCUUGAAGUCAGUCGCGUUUGCUAGGACUCAGCCUGGUUUCGGCCUGGUGCACUUCCUAGUAAACGGGCCAGCAUCACUUUUGGCUGCGGGAAAAAGGUUAGAGGAAUGUGGCACCCUCGGGUGUGUUAUAGCCUCUAGCUGUAUACCGUGGCUGGGAGUGAGGAACUCAGCACGCCUCUGGCGGGGCUUCGGCCACCUUCGUGCUUAGGAUGCUGGCGUAAUGGCUUUAAACGACCCGUCUUGAAACACGGACCAAGGAGUCUAACAUGCCUGCGAGUGUUUGGGUGGAAAACCCGAGCGCGUAAUGAAAGUGAUAGUUGGGACCUCUGUCGUGGAGGGCACCGACGCCCGGACCAGACCUUCUGUGACGGAUCCGCGGUAGAGCAUGUAUGUUGGGACCCGAAAGAUGGUGAACUAUGCCUGAAUAGGGUGAAGCCAGAGGAAACUCUGGUGGAGGCUCGUAGCGAUUCUGACGUGCAAAUCGAUCGUCAAAUUUGGGUAUAGGGGCGAAAGACUAAUCGAACCAUCUAGUAGCUGGUUCCUGCCGA